Molecule: ribosomal RNA, 472 nt
Filed under: uncultured bacterium
Lineage: Bacteria
Description: partial 16S ribosomal RNA
Rfam family: Bacterial small subunit ribosomal RNA
Source: RNAcentral
GACGAACGCUGGCGGCGUGCUUAACACAUGCAAGUCGAACGCUGAAGCUUGGUGCUUGCACUGGGUGGAUGAGUGGCGAACGGGUGAGUAAUACGUGAGUAACCUGCCCUUGACUCUGGGAUAAGCCUGGGAAACUGGGUCUAAUACUGGAUACGACAUGUCACCGCAUGGUGGUGUGUGGAAAGGGUUUUACUGGUUUUGGAUGGGCUCACGGCCUAUCAGCUUGAUGGUGGGGUAAUGGCUCACCAAGGCGACGACGGGUAGCCGGCCUGAGAGGGUGACCGGCCACACUGGGACUGAGACACGGCCCAGACUCCUACGGGAGGCAGCAGUGGGGAAUAUUGCACAAUGGGCGGAAGCCUGAUGCAGCGACGCCGCGUGAGGGAUGACGGCCUUCGGGGUGUAAACCUCUUUCAGCACGGAAGAAGCGAAAGUGACGGUACGUGCAGAAGAAGCGCCGGCUAACUACGUG